RNAcentral lists this ribosomal RNA (743 nucleotides) under Baylisascaris transfuga (bear roundworm). RNAcentral's name for it is "eukaryotic LSU rRNA". It matches the Rfam family "Eukaryotic large subunit ribosomal RNA", at positions 69 to 647 of the family's 3401-position model. The record is from RNAcentral. Lineage: Eukaryota; Metazoa; Nematoda; Chromadorea; Rhabditida; Ascarididae.
CGAGUAUUCCCUUAGUAACUGCGAGUGAACGGGGAAAAGCCCAUCGCUGAAUCCUUCAGCCACUGGCUGCUAGGAAUUGUAGCGUAUAGGUGCGGCUGUCCGUUCGUUUCGUGCACCCAAAGUCCCCUUGAGCGGGGCUAUAGUCCAAAGAAGGUGCUAGACCUGUACGGGUGGCGAGGCGAUCGGUUGGUUGCUCCUUGGAGUCGGGUUGCCUGGGAUCGCAGCCCAAAGUUGGUGGUAGACCUCAUCUAAGGCUAAAUAUGGCCACGAAACCGAUAGCAAACAAGUACCGUGAGGGAAAGUUGCAAAGAACUUUGAAGAGAGAGUUCAAGAGGGCGUGAAACCGUUGAGAUUGAAACGGAUAGAGUUGACGGAACUCAGCUGCAUUCAUCCGAUCGGCCUAGUGGCCCGAUAGCGUUCGCAUCCUCGAUGAGGGCAACGUUAUCGGUAACUAUUGGGUAAUUGAUCGGUGUAUUUGCGGCUGGUAUGCGCUGAGAGUUUUGUGAUCGCAUGUUAACGGGUGUGCAGUGGACCAUUCCUUCCGGGCGUGGAACCCUUCACAUUUUUAGACAUGUCGAUUAUAAAGUUUUGAACGUGGCGUCUCCGCUAUUGUGCGUCGGCUUAUGCGUGCUAUCGUGAUUAUUUGAUAUUCGCAUGCGAAUGUCUGUAAUUAACGAUGAUGCGACAAAAGUGUGAGCGCGUUGAGACGUGCAUCUCGGUGUGAACGUUGACCACCUAUCCGA